AUUGAACGCUGGCGGCAGGCUUAACACAUGCAAGUCGAGCGGGGGAAGGUAGCUUGCUACCGGACCUAGCGGCGGACGGGUGAGUAAUGCUUAGGAAUCUGCCUAUUAGUGGGGGACAACAUCUCGAAAGGGAUGCUAAUACCGCAUACGUCCUACGGGAGAAAGCAGGGGAUCUUCGGACCUUGCGCUAAUAGAUGAGCCUAAGUCGGAUUAGCUAGUUGGUGGGGUAAAGGCCUACCAAGGCGACGAUCUGUAGCGGGUCUGAGAGGAUGAUCCGCCACCCUGGGACUGGGACACGGCCCAGACUCCUACGGGAGGCAGCAGUGGGGAAUAUUGGACAAUGGGGGGAACCCUGAUCCAGCCAUGCCGCGUGUGUGAAGAAGGCCUUAUGGUUGUAAAGCACUUUAAGCGAGGAGGAGGCUACUUUAGUUAAUACCUAGAGAUAGUGGACGUUACUCGCAGAAUAAGCACCGGCUAACUCUGUGCCAGCCGCCGCGGUAA
This 501-nucleotide ribosomal RNA is filed under the name uncultured bacterium. RNAcentral's name for it is "partial 16S ribosomal RNA". It matches the Rfam family "Bacterial small subunit ribosomal RNA", at positions 30 to 523 of the family's 1533-position model. The record is from RNAcentral.